This 465-nucleotide ribosomal RNA is filed under the name uncultured bacterium. Its description in RNAcentral is "SSU rRNA". It matches the Rfam family "Bacterial small subunit ribosomal RNA", at positions 26 to 520 of the family's 1533-position model. The record is from RNAcentral.
AGCCUGAACGCUGGCGGCGUGGCUAAGACAUGCAAGUCGUACGGUGUAGUAAUACACAGUGGCGAACGGGUGAGUAAUGAAUCGCUAAUGUACCCCGGACUCUGGGAUAGCUGCCUGAAAAGGGCAGGUAAUACCAGAUGAUAUACCUCUAUCGCAUGAUAGAGGUCUCAAAGGUCCGCCGGUCUGGGAGCAGGCGAUUUUGUAUCAGCUAGUUGGUGAGGUAAUGGCUCACCAAGGCGAUGACGCAUAGCCGGACUGAGAGGUUGGCCGGCCACAUUGGGACUGAGACACUGCCCAGACUCCUACGGGGGGCUGCAGUAACGAAUCUCCGCAAUGCACGAAAGUGUGACGGAGCGACGCCGCGUGUGGGACGAAGCCCUUCGGGGUGUAAACCACUGUCAGGGGACAAAAAGUUCUAGAUUAUCCCCAGAGGAAGGCACGGCUAACUCUGUGCCAGCAGCGCGU